RNAcentral lists this non-coding RNA (186 nucleotides) under Gammaproteobacteria bacterium. RNAcentral describes it as "6S RNA". It matches the Rfam family "6S / SsrS RNA". Rfam says of the family: E. coli 6S RNA was the first non coding RNA to be sequenced, but its function was unknown until recently. It consists of 184 nucleotides that fold into an extended hairpin structure with a large single-stranded internal bulge. The 6S RNA specifically associates with RNA polymerase holoenzyme containing the sigma70 specificity factor. The record is from RNAcentral. Lineage: Bacteria; Pseudomonadati; Pseudomonadota; Gammaproteobacteria.
CGCUCCCUGCGGUGUUCGAUGCGGAUUGGAGAGUCUUUCGACCUUAAAUUUUGACCUUGGGGUUGUGUUCUGUCGGUAGCGUUGAGCAUAUCCAGUCUAGCUGGAUCGCCUGCAACUACCACGGCUUACCCCACCUUUCGCUCUGGUUCGAGAGCAACCAACUGCAACGGCACAGGCGGGGGGCGU